ACAAUAAGAGGGCGGAGAAAAAUCCGUUCUCACUACGCGGUCAAAGUCUUGGGAGGAUAAGAUCCUGGCGCGGUUAUUCGCAGCCGCCGUGACAUGAACGGAAAUGGAUCGGACGCGUUUUGUUUGCAAGGCUUCGUGCCUUGCAUUUUUUU
This 152-nucleotide small RNA is filed under the name Nitratireductor basaltis. Its description in RNAcentral is "Alphaproteobacterial sRNA ar9". It matches the Rfam family "Alphaproteobacterial sRNA ar9". The record is from Rfam by way of RNAcentral. Lineage: Bacteria; Pseudomonadati; Pseudomonadota; Alphaproteobacteria; Hyphomicrobiales; Phyllobacteriaceae.